RNAcentral lists this ribosomal RNA (833 nucleotides) under uncultured bacterium. RNAcentral describes it as "SSU rRNA". It matches the Rfam family "Bacterial small subunit ribosomal RNA", at positions 60 to 888 of the family's 1533-position model. The record is from RNAcentral.
AGUCGAGGGGCAGCAUGAAGUAGCAAUACUUUGAUGGCGACCGGCAAACGGGUGCGGAACACGUACACAACCUUCCUUUUAGUGGGGAAUAGCCCAGAGAAAUUUGGAUUAAUACCCCGUAACAUAACGAUGUGGCAUCACAUUGUUAUUAUAGCUUCGGCGCUAGAUGAUGGGUGUGCGUAUGAUUAGAUAGUUGGCGAGGUAACGGCUCACCAAGUCUACGAUCAUUAGCUGAUGUGAGAGCAUGAUCAGCCACACGGGCACUGAGACACGGGCCCGACUCCUACGGGAGGCAGCAGUAAGGAAUAUUGGUCAAUGGACGCAAGUCUGAACCAGCUAUGCCGCGUGAAGGAUUAAGGUCCUCUGGAUUGUAAACUUCUUUUAUCUGGGACGAAAAAAGGUCUUUCUAGAUCACUUGACGGUACCAGAUGAAUAAGCACCGGCUAACUCCGUGCCAGCAGCCGCGGUAAUACGGAGGGUGCAAGCGUUAUCCGGAUUCACUGGGUUUAAAGGGUGCGUAGGCGGGUAGGUAAGUCAGUGGUGAAAUCCUGGAGCUCAACUCCAGAACUGCCAUUGAUACUAUCUAUCUUGAAUAUUGUGGAGGUAAGCGGAAUAUGUCAUGUAGCGGUGAAAUGCUUAGAUAUGACAUAGAACACCCAUUGCGAAGGCAGCUUACUACGCAUAUAUUGACGCUGAGGCACGAAAGCGUGGGGAUCAAACAGGAUUAGAUACCCUGGUAGUCCACGCCCUAAACGAUGGAUACUCGACAUACGCGAUACACUGUGGGUGUCUGAGCGAAAGCUUUAAGUAUCCCACCCUGGGGAGUACGUUCG